GGGUACUUUUGGAUUCAAGUAGUAGGCUGCAUAAUGGAGGACAAAAUUUACGAUCAUUAAGAUGUAAGAAAUGCCAAACACUAAGGAUUAAGCUAUGUUGUUCCAUCAUGUUGUACCUGCCAGAUGCAACUCCUUUCCCAUAUGUAAAUCCCAUCUAUCCUCUAUGGUGUACAAAGUAUGGUGAAGCCUUUUUCUCACCUGUUGCACCAAUAAUCUACUGCUUGGUUGCUGCAUCUUUGUGUAGAAAAGAGCCCAUAUGUGGCCAUUUGUCAUUAUUACCCAUUCAUAGCAACCACCAUCGAUGAUGGCAGUCUUUAUCAUAGUCCUCUCGUCCUUCCUGACAGAGUCAUCAAUCUGCAGUUGCUUGGUUGUCCGGUCUGAGUAAGCACAUGAAUUGAGUAAUGAAUACUGAGCCCUAACUUCAGAUGGAAUCCUAGGGAUCAUCAAUGACUUACAGCAGAAUAUUAAGACUCAUGAUAUUACCACAAAAAGAAGCACACACAUAAGGGUUAGAAUGAAAUAUACCCACCCAUGAUGAUGAUUUUGGAGUUGAUCUUUACAUUCCUUGGAGACACUUAGAUCAUGAAAGAAUAUGACUUUAUCAAAUUUGCUCCCUGUAGUCGCCUCAGUCGAUGUGCAUAU
This 642-nucleotide long non-coding RNA is filed under the name Elaeis guineensis (African oil palm). RNAcentral describes it as "long non-coding RNA (EGUI_LNC066986)". The record is from RNAcentral. Lineage: Eukaryota; Viridiplantae; Streptophyta; Magnoliopsida; Arecales; Arecaceae.